CGGUUAGCUCAGUUGGUUCAGAGCAUCUGCCUUACAAGCAGAGGGUCGACGGUUCGAAUCCGCCAC
This 66-nucleotide transfer RNA is filed under the name bovine gut metagenome. It matches the Rfam family "tRNA", at positions 6 to 65 of the family's 71-position model. Rfam says of the family: Transfer RNA (tRNA) molecules are approximately 80 nucleotides in length. The record is from RNAcentral.